GGAGGGAUGGGUGAGUGGCUGAAACCACCAGUUUGCUAAACUGACGUACUGGUAACGGUACCGCGAGUUCGAAUCUCGCUCUCUCCGCAA
This 90-nucleotide transfer RNA is filed under the name Fluviicola taffensis DSM 16823. RNAcentral's name for it is "tRNA-Ser". It matches the Rfam family "tRNA". Rfam says of the family: Transfer RNA (tRNA) molecules are approximately 80 nucleotides in length. Their secondary structure includes four short double-helical elements and three loops (D, anti-codon, and T loops). Further hydrogen bonds mediate the characteristic L-shaped molecular structure. tRNAs have two regions of fundamental functional importance: the anti-codon, which is responsible for specific mRNA codon recognition, and the 3' end, to which the tRNAs corresponding amino acid is attached (by aminoacyl-tRNA synthetases). tRNAs cope with the degeneracy of the genetic code in two manners: having more than one tRNA (with a specific anti-codon) for a particular amino acid; and 'wobble' base-pairing, i.e. permitting non-standard base-pairing at the 3rd anti-codon position. The record is from RNAcentral. Lineage: Bacteria; Pseudomonadati; Bacteroidota; Flavobacteriia; Flavobacteriales; Crocinitomicaceae.